UGUCCGAUGGUGUAAUGGUAGCACACAGCCCUUUGGAGGCUAUAGUCUUGGUUCGAAUCCAAGUCGGACAGCCA
Molecule: transfer RNA, 74 nt
Filed under: Verrucomicrobiota bacterium
Lineage: Bacteria; Pseudomonadati; Verrucomicrobiota
Also listed under: 1 other name
Description: Verrucomicrobia bacterium (wastewater metagenome) tRNA-Gln
Rfam family: tRNA
About the family: Transfer RNA (tRNA) molecules are approximately 80 nucleotides in length.
Source: RNAcentral